RNAcentral lists this long non-coding RNA (1450 nucleotides) under Solanum tuberosum (potato). RNAcentral's name for it is "long non-coding RNA (STUB_LNC003910)". Lineage: Eukaryota; Viridiplantae; Streptophyta; Magnoliopsida; Solanales; Solanaceae. The record is from RNAcentral.
UGCCAAUAACAAUGGUUUCAACCAAUUACUCUGCUGAGAACACCUCAACCACACCUUCUCCAGUAGUUGUACCAAAUUCUCCCACGAUUCUCACCAUAAAUAACAAUGAGCAGUUGAUCAAUAUCAACAUUGUUGCUAGGCACCUCUAAAGCUCAACAAUACAAACUAUCAGUCAUGGAAAUACCAAUGGGAAACCAUCCUCACUACAUAUGAUUUCCUCCACUUUAUUGAACAAUCACCAAGUUCAACCACACCUUAUUUGUUGUUUACUCUCUUGUAUAAAUACACAUACAUAAUAAUAAAAUAAACACUUCUCUCCAACAGUAAAGUCUAUAUGGUAUCAAGAACCUAAAAGCAUCACUGCAUUUUUUUUUUCUUCCUGAACAUUUGUGUUUUCCUGCUGCCAAUAACAAUGGUUUCAACCAAUUACUCUGCUGAGAACACCUCAACCACACCUUCUCCAGUAGUUGUACCAAAUUCUCCCAUGAUUCUCACCAUAAAUAACAAUGAGCUGUUGAUCAAUAUCAACAUUGUUGCUAGGCACCUCUAAAGCUCAACAGUACAAACUAUCAGUCAUGGAAAUACUAAUGGGAAACCAUCCUUACUACAUAUGAUUUCCUCCACUUUAUUGAACAAUCACCAAGUUCAACCACACCUUAUUUGUUGUUUACUCUCUUGUAUAAAUACACAUACAUAAUAAUAAAAUAAACACUUCUCUCCAACAGUAAAGUCUAUAUGGUAUCAAGAACCUAAAAGCAUCACUGCAUUUUUUUUUUCUUCCUGAACAUUUGUGUUUUCCUGCUGCCAAUAACAAUGGUUUCAACCAAUUACUCUGCUGAGAACACCUCAACCACACCUUCUCCAGUAGUUGUACCAAAUUCUCCCAUGAUUCUCACCAUAAAUAACAAUGAGCUGUUGAUCAAUAUCAACAUUGUUGCUAGGCACCUCUAAAGCUCAACAGUACAAACUAUCAGUCAUGGAAAUACUAAUGGGAAACCAUCCUUACUACAUAUGAUUUCCUCCACUUUAUUGAACAAUCACCAAGUUCAACCACACCUUAUUUGUUGUUUACUCUCUUGUAUAAAUACACAUACAUAAUAAUAAAAUAAACACUUCUCUCCAACAGUAAAGUCUAUAUGGUAUCAAGAACCUAAAAGCAUCACUGCAUUUUUUUUUUCUUCCUGAACAUUUGUGUUUUCCUGCUGCCAAUAACAAUGGUUUCAACCAAUUACUCUGCUGAGAACACCUCAACCACACCUUCUCCAGUAGUUGUACCAAAUUCUCCCAUGAUUCUCACCAUAAAUAACAAUGAGCUGUUGAUCAAUAUCAACAUUGUUGCUAGGCACCUCUAAAGCUCAACAGUACAAACUAUCAGUCAUGGAAAUACUAAUGGGAAACCAUCCUUACUACAUAUGAUUUCCUCCACUUUAUUGAACAAUCACCAAGUUCA